CCAAUUUGAUGUGGAGUUGAGGUUCCAGAGGAACUGCUCUUUCCAUCGCUGCUUUCACCUUUGUUUUUCGCCAUUGCUUCUUUAGCCCUGGACACUGCACAAGCAACAGUCUUGACAAUGCUCUCAAAAAUAUGAGCCUUGACUCUCCCUCU
Long non-coding RNA from Hibiscus syriacus, 152 nucleotides. RefSeq lists it as uncharacterized. The transcript is spliced from 3 exons. NCBI's taxonomy places the organism in Eukaryota, Viridiplantae, Streptophyta, Magnoliopsida, Malvales, Malvaceae. The record is from RefSeq and is a predicted model, not a curated record.